Herpailurus yagouaroundi (jaguarundi) is the source of this 1671-nucleotide long non-coding RNA. RefSeq lists it as uncharacterized. The record is from RefSeq and is a predicted model, not a curated record. The transcript has 2 exons. NCBI's taxonomy places the organism in Eukaryota, Metazoa, Chordata, Mammalia, Carnivora, Felidae.
AGGCAAAAACCUUAGGUAAAAUUGCUGGUUUCUGUGAAAUCAAGUAAGAACAGCAGAAAAUACAGAGACGCUUAUUCUAUCCAGCACAGUAAGUCGCCCAGUUCAAAUGUGCCCUGAUCCAUAACACCUUUUGUGGCUCUACUGGCUCAUAUUAAUCUCACCCACCUCAGAUUUUCCAGAUCAUCUAUGGCACCUUCACCACAGCAUUUAUCACAUUUGACCUUGAACCACAGUGAAUUUUUUACACUGCUCAUUCACACCACGUAUUUUAAGUUCUUUGGGGAAAUCCCUUGUGUUUCCAAGAGCACAGCACUAUGCAAGGAACUGGCUUAGGGCCACCAGCUUGCAACUUCUAACACUGGGUUUUUACCAACCUGCAGUAGGUCUUUAUGCACUAACAGAGUCGCUACACCUGUAUCCAUUAAAAAUGGCAAUCUCUUGAAGGGACAUACAAGAAUACUGCAUUUGAGAUGUCUGUCUAUAAAACACAGGAACAGAAGAACCGUAAAUUAGAACCAAAGUGCCCAGCCCACUUUCAUCUGUGACUAUUCUAUGGGAUCAGAUCUCAGGACUGAAGGAUAUCCUAAAGUGGCUCUGUGCUGGCAGUAAGCUUGCUUCAUGUGGUUGUCCAGCCACUUAACUGCUUCCUUCAGACAGACAAGCAACGGCAGGCAUCUCAGUGGGCCGGCAGAGUGUCCAAUCCAGUUUGAUUCAAUUAAUGUUUAUGCACUACCUUCCAUAUACCAUGGUGCUACACAGUCUCCACCCUACAGUGGGGAAGUCAGGCAAGUAAACAAAUGACAACACAGAACAGUGUGUGACAUUCUGAGAAGGAAGUAUGCCAAGGGUAGCUUAUAGGGAAAUGGAAAUAAGGGUGGUUUUGCAUAAGAGGAGACACUUGAGCAGAGCCUUAAAGCUUAGAAGGAAUCAGCCGGACGGAAGAAACAAAGAGGCAACACCCAAACUCAAGGUCUUUCAAGUAGUCCCAGCAAACGGCCAAUGCACGUACUGUGAGUGGCUGGAGCUCCAAAGUGAAAGAAUGGUGGCUGCAAGCAUGGAGAGUUUCUCCAGGAUCUUGAACUUGACUGUUGAGAGAAAACAACUUUGGGCUAUAUGGGUCUCCUCCUGUAUUAAUUCUCAGGAGGUCAAAGACUCUCAGAGCGGCACCAAGUCAGGAAAGGGCCUUCUCCAUCACUGACUAUAAAGAGAGAGCAAUGGCAAUGAACAUGAAGGGUAAGAGAGGUUCUGAGCAAUCUUCCAACCAAUUCCAUUAAAUCAUUAAGGUGUAAACAACAGUUUGUCUCAUCAGCCUUUUUUUGCCAAAGGCCUUCACUGUUUUUCUCUUUUAGUUAUCCUUGCAAAGGCAGAUUUAUCGUUGAACUUCAGCAAGGGCUGGCAGUUUUCCAACACAAGGAAGCACUGUCCAAAGUCAGUCUAAUUUUAAAGAUUUCAUCUUACUCAAACAAAUUUGACACAUCCUUACUAAAACGCUUUCUACAUAUUUAACUGUUGAGGUUUAAAAGAAGAGAUAACAAGGAGCCCAUGAAACCAUCCCCGUUGUCAAAGAAGCUUGUGAUCUUCGGAGAAAGACAAAACUUAUCAACAUGAAACAAUUAGACACAAAACCAUCCAAAACUGUGCAACCCCCCCCCUAAAAUCAAGUUAACUGGG